UUAUCUUUACAAAUUUGUACAGCCUCGUAUUUAUACAAUGCGAACAAGAUCAUAUCUCGUAAUCCUAAAAUACAAGGAUCUAAAUCCUAAUGUGUUGUUCUUUAAGUCUUUUUUCCACAUUUUUUGGGACUUAAACAACUUUGUAGUUCUUUCAUUUUCACUAAUGAAUAUUUACUAUUUAGCAAAAAAAUAAAAUACAAGGAUCUAUAGUUAUCCUAAGUAAAUAAAAUCUAAUAAUAAUAUUUAAAUAAUCAUAUGCUUCACAAACUUGUAGAAUCCAUUUGGACGUGCUUGUAGUAUAUGCGCUACAUCACAUUCAUAGGUCUCGACGUUAAGACCUUACAAAUAUGUGUUAUCCAUAUUUAAUCUACCUCCCUCCCACAAUUACCCACUGAAAAAAUUUCUAAUACGAUAACACAUUUUGAAUAUCAACAAACAUUUACCAACACCUUUACUUACACUUCCCCACGUGGCGGUUAACUCAACAAAUAUUAGCACAGCAAUCCUAUGUGUUCCAUGCUACACCCCUCCUCUCAUAAACAUCAAAACUGCUACAUUGAAAGUAGUGGAGGUCUGCCUACUCACUCUCCAUCCCGUCUACGCUGGAAAGCAAAACGUGUAAACAAAGUUAUCAUUGGAUCUAAACCUUCUCAUUUACUACUCAUAUAGAUUACUCAUACGGUCAAUAUAACUCAUUACAAGGGUCAGCACUCUCAAACGCCAUGCGAGAACCGGAUCCCAAACACCCUC
Molecule: long non-coding RNA, 750 nt
Filed under: Brassica napus (rape)
Lineage: Eukaryota; Viridiplantae; Streptophyta; Magnoliopsida; Brassicales; Brassicaceae
Description: long non-coding RNA (BNAP_LNC024167)
Source: RNAcentral